AAUUUUUUUAUAACCAUUUUUUAGUACUUCACUUAGGAUGAUAUGCCAUCUUUUUAUUUAUCCGAUUUACCGCGAUUAACCUUCAGAUAGUGUGUAGUGAUAAUAAUGUUAAGAUAUCCCGCGGUAGACGGAGCAGUUUAUAUGAUUAUUCAACUAAAAAUAUAUGUUGAAAAUGAUUACAAUCAAAUUUAAAACAUUUCAAUACAAAUAUAAAGAGAAAUUGGAAGGAAUAAUAAAUUAUACUAGUUUAUUUUUGCAUUUAUUUAUUAGACUAGAAAUAUCACUAUAUACAUUGAUUAAAUUUCACUGCAGAUUCAAGUUUUCUCCACCUUCAUUUCACAUGUCUCCUUGAAU
Long non-coding RNA from Coccinella septempunctata (seven-spotted ladybird), 354 nucleotides. RefSeq lists it as uncharacterized. The record is from RefSeq and is a predicted model, not a curated record. The transcript has 2 exons. Lineage: Eukaryota; Metazoa; Arthropoda; Insecta; Coleoptera; Coccinellidae.